This 400-nucleotide ribosomal RNA is filed under the name uncultured bacterium. Its description in RNAcentral is "partial 16S ribosomal RNA". It matches the Rfam family "Bacterial small subunit ribosomal RNA", at positions 360 to 776 of the family's 1533-position model. The record is from RNAcentral.
AAUAUUGCGCAAUGGGGGAAACCCUGACGCAGCAACGCCGCGUGGAGGAAGAAGGUCUUCGGAUUGUAAACUCCUGUCUUCUGGGACGAAUAAUGCCGGUACCAGAGGAGUAAGCCACGGCUAACUAAGUGCCAGCAGCCGCGGUAAUACGUAGUUGGCGAGCGUUGUCCGGAAUUACUGGGCGUAAAGGGCGCGUAGGCGGCUUUUUAAGUCAGAUGUGAAAACCCGAGGCUUAACUUCGGGACUGCAUUUGAAACUGGAGGGCUUGAGUGCAGGAGAGGUAAGUGGAAUUCCUAGUGUAGCGGUGAAAUGCGUAGAUAUUAGGAGGAACACCAGUGGCGAAGGCGACUUACUGGACUGUAACUGACGCUGAGGCGCGAAAGCGUGGGGAGCAAACAGG